CUCCCCCUGAACUGACCUUGUCUGGUGGCAGGCGGAGAGGCUGCUCUGGUUAGUGCAGAUAAGGACACAGGAAGCAAAAAUGCGAAAGUGGGUUGCUUGUGGGCAGUCAGGUCCAGAAAGCUUCAAAGGGACUGGAUCUCUAGUAAGGAAUACGGCCUCGUAUCCAGUUAUACCAAUCAGGUAGGUGACCCAGAGAAUACACAUGAGGAAAAACAAGAGAACAAUGUGGCCUUGCUCGUUAAGGUUAGAAUCCUGUGUUAUGUGUCCUUGAUUCCCGAGGAGCUCCCAUUCUGUGAGCUUCAUCAUUCUUUAUGAGAUCAAUAA
RNAcentral lists this long non-coding RNA (324 nucleotides) under Mustela putorius furo (domestic ferret). RNAcentral's name for it is "lncRNA (ENSMPUG00000028973.1)". Lineage: Eukaryota; Metazoa; Chordata; Mammalia; Carnivora; Mustelidae. The record is from RNAcentral.